AUGGGGAAACCCAGUGUGUUUCGACACACUAUCAUUAACUGAAUCCAUAGGUUAAUGAGGCGAACCGGGGGAACUGAAACAUCUAAGUACCCCGAGGAAAAGAAAUCAACCGAGAUUCCCCCAGUAGCGGCGAGCGAACGGGGAGCAGCCCAGAGUCUGAAUCAGUGUGUGUGUUAGUGGAAGCGUCUGGAAAGGCGCGCGAUACAGGGUGACAGCCCCGUACACAAAAAUGCACAUGCUGUGAGCUCGAUGAGUAGGGCGGGACACGUGGUAUCCUGUCUGAAUAUGGGGGGACCAUCCUCCAAGGCUAAAUACUCCUGACUGACCGAUAGUGAACCAGUACCGUGAGGGAAAGGCGAAAAGAACCCCGGCGAGGGGAGUGAAAAAGAACCUGAAACCGUGUACGUACAAGCAGUGGGAGCACGCUUAGGCGUGUGACUGCGUACCUUUUGUAUAAUGGGUCAGCGACUUAUAUUCUGUAGCAAGGUUAACCGAAUAGGGGAGCCGAAGGGAAACCGAGUCUUAACUGGGCGUUAAGUUGCAGGGUAUAGACCCGAAACCCGGUGAUCUAGCCAUGGGCAGGUUGAAGGUUGGGUAACACUAACUGGAGGACCGAACCGACUAAUGUUGAAAAAUUAGCGGAUGACUUGUGGCUGGGGGUGAAAGGCCAAUCAAACCGGGAGAUAGCUGGUUCUCCCCGAAAGCUAUUUAGGUAGCGCCUCGUGAAUUCAUCUCCGGGGGUAGAGCACUGUUUCGGCAAGGGGGUCAUCCCGACUUACCAACCCGAUGCAAACUGCGAAUACCGGAGAAUGUUAUCACGGGAGACACACGGCGGGUGCUAACGUCCGUCGUGAAGAGGGAAACAACCCAGACCGCCAGCUAAGGUCCCAAAGUCAUGGUUAAGUGGGAAACGAUGUGGGAAGGCCCAGACAGCCAGGAUGUUGGCUUAGAAGCAGCCAUCAUUUAAAGAAAGCGUAAUAGCUCACUGGUCGAGUCGGCCUGCGCGGAAGAUGUAACGGGGCUAAACCAUGCACCGAAGCUGCGGCAGCGACGCUUAUGCGUUGUUGGGUAGGGGAGCGUUCUGUAAGCCUGCGAAGGUGUGCUGUGAGGCAUGCUGGAGGUAUCAGAAGUGCGAAUGCUGACAUAAGUAACGAUAAAGCGGGUGAAAAGCCCGCUCGCCGGAAGACCAAGGGUUCCUGUCCAACGUUAAUCGGGGCAGGGUGAGUCGACCCCUAAGGCGAGGCCGAAAGGCGUAGUCGAUGGGAAACAGGUUAAUAUUCCUGUACUUGGUGUUACUGCGAAGGGGGGACGGAGAAGGCUAUGUUGGCCGGGCGACGGUUGUCCCGGUUUAAGCGUGUAGGCUGGUUUUCCAGGCAAAUCCGGAAAAUCAAGGCUGAGGCGUGAUGACGAGGCACUACGGUGCUGAAGCAACAAAUGCCCUGCUUCCAGGAAAAGCCUCUAAGCAUCAGGUAACAUCAAAUCGUACCCCAAACCGACACAGGUGGUCAGGUAGAGAAUACCAAGGCGCUUGAGAGAACUCGGGUGAAGGAACUAGGCAAAAUGGUGCCGUAACUUCGGGAGAAGGCACGCUGAUAUGUAGGUGAAGCGACUUGCUCGUGGAGCUGAAAUCAGUCGAAGAUACCAGCUGGCUGCAACUGUUUAUUAAAAACACAGCACUGUGCAAACACGAAAGUGGACGUAUACGGUGUGACGCCUGCCCGGUGCCGGAAGGUUAAUUGAUGGGGUCAGCGCAAGCGAAGCUCUUGAUCGAAGCCCCGGUAAACGGCGGCCGUAACUAUAACGGUCCUAAGGUAGCGAAAUUCCUUGUCGGGUAAGUUCCGACCUGCACGAAUGGCGUAAUGAUGGCCAGGCUGUCUCCACCCGAGACUCAGUGAAAUUGAACUCGCUGUGAAGAUGCAGUGUACCCGCGGCAAGACGGAAAGACCCCGUGAACCUUUACUAUAGCUUGACACUGAACAUUGAGCCUUGAUGUGUAGGAUAGGUGGGAGGCUUUGAAGUGUGGACGCCAGUCUGCAUGGAGCCGACCUUGAAAUACCACCCUUUAAUGUUUGAUGUUCUAACGUUGGCCCCUAAUCGGGGUUGCGGACAGUGUCUGGUGGGUAGUUUGACUGGGGCGGUCUCCUCCUAAAGAGUAACGGAGGAGCACGAAGGUUGGCUAAUCCUGGUCGGACAUCAGGAGGUUAGUGCAAUGGCAUAAGCCAGCUUGACUGCGAGCGUGACGGCGCGAGCAGGUGCGAAAGCAGGUCAUAGUGAUCCGGUGGUUCUGAAUGGAAGGGCCAUCGCUCAACGGAUAAAAGGUACUCCGGGGAUAACAGGCUGAUACCGCCCAAGAGUUCAUAUCGACGGCGGUGUUUGGCACCUCGAUGUCGGCUCAUCACAUCCUGGGGCUGAAGUAGGUCCCAAGGGUAUGGCUGUUCGCCAUUUAAAGUGGUACGCGAGCUGGGUUUAGAACGUCGUGAGACAGUUCGGUCCCUAUCUGCCGUGGGCGCUGGAGAACUGAGGGGGGCUGCUCCUAGUACGAGAGGACCGGAGUGGACGCAUCACUGGUGUUCGGGUUGUCAUGCCAAUGGCACUGCCCGGUAGCUAAAUGCGGAAGAGAUAAGUGCUGAAAGCAUCUAAGCACGAAACUUGCCCCGAGAUGAGUUCU
RNAcentral lists this ribosomal RNA (2668 nucleotides) under Escherichia coli. RNAcentral describes it as "bacterial LSU rRNA". It matches the Rfam family "Bacterial large subunit ribosomal RNA". The record is from RNAcentral. Lineage: Bacteria; Pseudomonadati; Pseudomonadota; Gammaproteobacteria; Enterobacterales; Enterobacteriaceae.